GUGCUAUACUAAUAAAGUUGACUUGAUCAACCCUUGGUGCUUAGCUUCUUUCACCAAGCAUAUUAUACGCGGGAUAGCCGCUAAAGGAGAAAAUAUG
This 97-nucleotide non-coding RNA is filed under the name uncultured Streptococcus sp. RNAcentral describes it as "preQ1-II (pre queuosine) riboswitch". It matches the Rfam family "PreQ1-II (pre queuosine) riboswitch aptamer". From Rfam's summary of the family: Q is a hyper modified nucleoside present in some anticodons in tRNAs (Try, Asn, Asp and His). Lineage: Bacteria; Bacillati; Bacillota; Bacilli; Lactobacillales; Streptococcaceae. The record is from RNAcentral.